RNAcentral lists this long non-coding RNA (1194 nucleotides) under Nicotiana benthamiana. Its description in RNAcentral is "long non-coding RNA (NBEN_LNC008483)". Lineage: Eukaryota; Viridiplantae; Streptophyta; Magnoliopsida; Solanales; Solanaceae. The record is from RNAcentral.
UAGUCAGUAUUAUUAUCCAAUUAACUCGUGCCGCUACUUGUCAUUUCGACAUAUCUAGAACAAAAUGUAAGACACAAAGAGUUAAAGUAGGUUUUCCACUCGGACUAGUUCCUUGAGUGAUUACCUGAAUUGGAAAUAUCUAUGGCAACAACUUCCAAUUAACCCACCCAAUAAUCGGAUUACUCAAUUCGCUAAGAGAAGUGUGUUUUCAUUAAUGGAAAGCCGAAAAACAGGUAUCCAUUAGACUUGUCAAACUUCUGCCUAAAUGGUUAUUCUCAGAAGCUAAACACAAAGGAAACCUAAAGUUGAAAUCCAAAAUCCGUGACAAAAAAAAAAAGAACAAGCUGCAAGAAAAGAAAAAGAAAAUUACAUCUUGUUGACAAUCCUUUGACGAGAAUCAGGUAGAAGUUGAGUCCGCCAAUCCAGUGUCCAUAGCUCCGGCUGCAGCUCCAACUCGGGCGGUCCCUUCACUCCCAAAAUAUGCAUUUCAUCUCAAAUGCAUCUUCGUUAGACAGCUAAAUCUGACACUUCUUUAGGCAGAUAAAAGUUUUUCUUCUCCUCAGAGCAUAAAAAUGAUCAAGGUAGGUACAGGCAACUGAGAAUUUUCAGCGGUGAGAAAGGAACAUUGACGAGAGAGGGGAGACUGAACACUUCCCUCUACACUUUGUAGCCAUAGAGAGCGGGAUUUUCAACAUCAUAACUAAGUAAUCAUGUCAGACAAAUGAUUGGUUAAUGUGAAGGCGCCCAUAUCUCCGGCUGCAGCUCCAGCUGGGGAGGUACCUUCACUCCCCAAAAUAUGCAGUUCAUUUCAAAUCUUCUUCAUUAGACAACUAAAUCUGACACUUCUUUAAGCAGAUAAAAGUUUUUCUUCCCCUCAGAACAUAAAACAAUCAGAAGGAGAAAAAUUUAGAUGAUGUUCAAAGGUGGUGUCAAUGAUGAGACUUGAGAGGCAGAGGGCGGGGCUUGUAAUGUCAAGGUAGGUAUGGAAGUCGGACGACAACUGAGAAUUUUCAGUGGUGAGAAAGGAACAUUGCGAGAGAGGGGAGAGUGAACACUUUCCUGUACACUUUGUAGCCACAGAGAGCAAGCUUUUCCAACAUCAUAACUAAUUCAUUAGGUUUAUACAAAGCGUCCUGUCACACAAAUGAUUUGUCAAUGUGAAAUACAGCACAUGAACUUUCAUUGCUCACCUGG